This 253-nucleotide ribosomal RNA is filed under the name uncultured bacterium. Its description in RNAcentral is "partial 16S ribosomal RNA". It matches the Rfam family "Bacterial small subunit ribosomal RNA", at positions 524 to 776 of the family's 1533-position model. The record is from RNAcentral.
UACGAAGGGGGCAAGCGUUGUUCGGAUUUACUGGGCGUAAAGCGCACGUAGGCGGAUCGAUCAGUCAGGGGUGAAAUCCCAGGGCUCAACCCUGGAACUGCCUUUGAUACUGUCGAUCUGGAGUAUGGAAGAGGUGAGUGGAAUUCCGAGUGUAGAGGUGAAAUUCGUAGAUAUUCGGAGGAACACCAGUGGCGAAGGCGGCUCACUGGUCCAUUACUGACGCUGAGGUGCGAAAGCGUGGGGAGCAAACAGG